AAAGAGGGGAAGGGAGUGAUUUCAUCGGCGAAGUGCGGAAGCAGGUCGCGAAUCGCGUCGGGCAAGGGGAAAGAAGAAGGGUGCGCGUCUUUCGGCGAAGCAGAGCUCGGGGAAGGCAUGUAAUCUUCCCUUUUGUAGGUAAAGGAAGUGGUAUUGGGAUGGUGAUAGAGGACAUGAAGACGGAGUGACCGAGAGGAGGAGAUGGAAAGCAAGCCACACUAUCUAGGGCCGCUAUGCAUGAUAUUCAAUUGGAACCUUUGAUUGUAUUGUGAUUAAGAGUUUUAGCUUAAAUAUAUAAAAAAAACUGAGGCUGUUAUUGCUAUGUCCAAGUUACAAAUCAUAUAGUCGGAAUGUUUCAAUUGGUAUCAGGAUAGUCGCUCCCAAAGGACAGUGUGUGCAUGCAAUCUUGUCAAGGACUCGAAUACUACCGUCUUCAAGUCUGUAAAGGAAGUGGUAUUGGGAUGGUGAUAGAGGACACGAAGACAGAGUGACCGAGAGGAGGAGACGGAAAGCAAGUCACACUAUCCAGGGCCACUAUGCAUGAUAUUUAAUCGGAACCUUUGAUUGUAUUAAGAUUAAGAGCUUUAGCUUAAAUAUAUAAAAAAAAAAUGACGCUAUUAUUGCUAUGUCCAAGUUACAAAUCAUAUAGUCGAGAUGUUUCAGACUAGUUCACUAAUAACAUUUUAAAUUAGAAAUAA
This is a long non-coding RNA of Zingiber officinale, 698 nucleotides long. RefSeq lists it as uncharacterized. The transcript is spliced from 3 exons. The record is from RefSeq and is a predicted model, not a curated record. NCBI's taxonomy places the organism in Eukaryota, Viridiplantae, Streptophyta, Magnoliopsida, Zingiberales, Zingiberaceae.